UUAAGCGACUAAGCGUACACGGUGGAUGCCCUGGCAGUCAGAGGCGAUGAAGGACGUGCUAAUCUGCGAUAAGCGUCGGUAAGGUGAUAUGAACCGUUAUAACCGGCGAUUUCCGAAUGGGGAAACCCAGUGUGUUUCGACACACUAUCAUUAACUGAAUCCAUAGGUUAAUGAGGCGAACCGGGGGAACUGAAACAUCUAAGUACCCCGAGGAAAAGAAAUCAACCGAGAUUCCCCCAGUAGCGGCGAGCGAACGGGGAGGAGCCCAGAGCCUGAAUCAGUGUGUGUGUUAGUGGAAGCGUCUGGAAAGGCGCGCGAUACAGGGUGACAGCCCCGUACACAAAAAUNCACAUAUUGUGAGCUCGAUGAGUAGGGCGGGACACGUGGUAUCCUGUCUGAAUAUGGGGGGACCAUCCUCCAAGGCUAAAUACUCCUGACUGACCGAUAGUGAACCAGUACCGUGAGGGAAAGGCGAAAAGAACCCCGGCGAGGGGAGUGAAAAAGAACCUGAAACCGUGUACGUACAAGCAGUGGGAGCACGCUUAGGCGUGUGACUGCGUACCUUUUGUAUAAUGGGUCAGCGACUUAUAUUCUGUAGCAAGGUUAACCGAAUAGGGGAGCCGAAGGGAAACCGAGUCUUAACUGGGCGUUAAGUUGCAGGGUAUAGACCCGAAACCCGGUGAUCUAGCCAUGGGCAGGUUGAAGGUUGGGUAACACUAACUGGAGGACCGAACCGACUAAUGUUGAAAAAUUAGCGGAUGACUUGUGGCUGGGGGUGAAAGGCCAAUCAAACCGGGAGAUAGCUGGUUCUCCCCGAAAGCUAUUUAGGUAGCGCCUCGUGAAUUCAUCUCCGGGGGUAGAGCACUGUUUCGGCAAGGGGGUCAUCCCGACUUACCAACCCGAUGCAAACUGCGAAUACCGGAGAAUGUUAUCACGGGAGACACACGGCGGGUGCUAACGUCCGUCGUGAAGAGGGAAACAACCCAGACCGCCAGCUAAGGUCCCAAAGUCAUGGUUAAGUGGGAAACGAUGUGGGAAGGCCCAGACAGCCAGGAUGUUGGCUUAGAAGCAGCCAUCAUUUAAAGAAAGCGUAAUAGCUCACUGGUCGAGUCGGCCUGCGCGGAAGAUGUAACGGGGCUAAACCAUGCACCGAAGCUGCGGCAGCGACGCUUAUGCGUUGUUGGGUAGGGGAGCGUUCUGUAAGCCUGCGAAGGUGUGCUGUGAGGCAUGCUGGAGGUAUCAGAAGUGCGAAUGCUGACAUAAGUAACGAUAAAGCGGGUGAAAAGCCCGCUCGCCGGAAGACCAAGGGUUCCUGUCCAACGUUAAUCGGGGCAGGGUGAGUCGACCCCUAAGGCGAGGCCGAAAGGCGUAGUCGAUGGGAAACAGGUUAAUAUUCCUGUACUUGGUGUUACUGCGAAGGGGGGACGGAGAAGGCUAUGUUGGCCGGGCGACGGUUGUCCCGGUUUAAGCGUGUAGGCUGGUUUUCCAGGCAAAUCCGGAAAAUCAAGGCUGAGGCGUGAUGACGAGGCACUACGGUGCUGAAGCAACAAAUGCCCUGCUUCCAGGAAAAGCCUCUAAGCAUCAGGUAACAUCAAAUCGUACCCCAAACCGACACAGGUGGUCAGGUAGAGAAUACCAAGGCGCUUGAGAGAACUCGGGUGAAGGAACUAGGCAAAAUGGUGCCGUAACUUCGGGAGAAGGCACGCUGAUAUGUAGGUGAAGUCCCUUGCGGAUGGAGCUGAAAUCAGUCGAAGAUACCAGCUGGCUGCAACUGUUUAUUAAAAACACAGCACUGUGCAAACACGAAAGUGGACGUAUACGGUGUGACGCCUGCCCGGUGCCGGAAGGUUAAUUGAUGGGGUCAGCGCAAGCGAAGCUCUUGAUCGAAGCCCCGGUAAACGGCGGCCGUAACUAUAACGGUCCUAAGGUAGCGAAAUUCCUUGUCGGGUAAGUUCCGACCUGCACGAAUGGCGUAAUGAUGGCCAGGCUGUCUCCACCCGAGACUCAGUGAAAUUGAACUCGCUGUGAAGAUGCAGUGUACCCGCGGCAAGACGGAAAGACCCCGUGAACCUUUACUAUAGCUUGACACUGAACAUUGAGCCUUGAUGUGUAGGAUAGGUGGGAGGCUUUGAAGUGUGGACGCCAGUCUGCAUGGAGCCGGCCUUGAAAUACCACCCUUUAAUGUUUGAUGUUCUAACGUGGACCCGUGAUCCGGGUUGCGGACAGUGUCUGGUGGGUAGUUUGACUGGGGCGGUCUCCUCCUAAAGAGUAACGGAGGAGCACGAAGGUUGGCUAAUCCUGGUCGGACAUCAGGAGGUUAGUGCAAUGGCAUAAGCCAGCUUGACUGCGAGCGUGACGGCGCGAGCAGGUGCGAAAGCAGGUCAUAGUGAUCCGGUGGUUCUGAAUGGAAGGGCCAUCGCUCAACGGAUAAAAGGUACUCCGGGGAUAACAGGCUGAUACCGCCCAAGAGUUCAUAUCGACGGCGGUGUUUGGCACCUCGAUGUCGGCUCAUCACAUCCUGGGGCUGAAGUAGGUCCCAAGGGUAUGGCUGUUCGCCAUUUAAAGUGGUACGCGAGCUGGGUUUAGAACGUCGUGAGACAGUUCGGUCCCUAUCUGCCGUGGGCGCUGGAGAACUGAGGGGGGCUGCUCCUAGUACGAGAGGACCGGAGUGGACGCAUCACUGGUGUUCGGGUUGUCAUGCCAAUGGCACUGCCCGGUAGCUAAAUGCGGAAGAGAUAAGUGCUGAAAGCAUCUAAGCACGAAACUUGCCCCGAGAUGAGUUCUCCCUGACCCUUUAAGGGUCCUGAAGGAACGUUGAAGACGACGACGUUGAUAGGCCGGGUGUGUAAGCGCAGCGAUGCGUUGAGCUAACCGGUACUAAUGAACCGUGAGGCUUAACCUU
RNAcentral lists this ribosomal RNA (2902 nucleotides) under Shigella sonnei. RNAcentral describes it as "bacterial LSU rRNA". It matches the Rfam family "Bacterial large subunit ribosomal RNA". Lineage: Bacteria; Pseudomonadati; Pseudomonadota; Gammaproteobacteria; Enterobacterales; Enterobacteriaceae. The record is from RNAcentral.